ACGGGUUGAUAUUCCCGUACCCGUGUGCGUGCGACAAGUGAUGAAUCUUAUGGUACUAACCGCCCGCUUGUUUCUACUGGUCUUUUUGGUUGGUGGUUUCAGGUGCGUGGGAUCUUCGUGGGUAGUAGUCAAGUGAUGGGGUGACGCAGAGUGGUAGCUAGGCUUCCUUAUUGGAUUGGAGUGCAAGCGUGUGGCCUGUGGGGUUGGGAAAUCCGCCCCGCAUUAAGGGUGAGGCGUGAUGCGGACACCAUGAUUGUGGUGGUAGUUAGUGUGCCUGUGCUGCCUAGAAAAGCCUCUAGCGAGUGCGUGCAUGGCCCGUACCGGAAACCGACACAGGUGGUCAGGUAGAGAAUACUAAGGCGUUCGGGUGAACUGUGGUUAAGGAACUCGGCAAAAUGCCCCCGUAACUUCGGGAGAAGGGGGACCAUUACUAGUUGCUGACAGCAAGAUGGCUGGUGGUGGUCGCAGAGGAGAGAGGGAAGCGACUGUUUAUUAAAAACACAGGUCCGUGCGAAAACGUGGAAGUUGAGGUAUACGGACUGACGCCUGCCCGGUGCUGGAAGGUUAAGAGGACUCGUGAGCAUGCCUUUAUGGUGUGCGAGGCGGAGAAUUGAAGCCCCAGUAAACGGCGGUGGUAACUAUAACCAUCCUAAGGUAGCGAAAUUCCUUGUCGGGUAAGUUCCGACCUGCACGAAUGGCGUAACGACUUCCCUGCUGUCUCAACCACAGGCCCGGUGAAAUUGCAGUACGAGUAAAGAUGCUCGUUUCGCGCGGCAGGACGAAAAGACCCCGGGACCUUUACUAUAGCUUGGUAUUGGUGUUUGGUCAUGCUUGUGUAGGAUAGGUGGGAGACUGUGAAACCGCAACGCUAGUUGUGGUGGAGUCGCAGGUGAAAUACCACUCUGGUGUGAUUGGGUACCUGAACCUUGGCCCGUGAUCCGGGUUGGGGACAGUGCCUGGUGGGUAGUUUAACUGGGGCGGUUGCCUCCUAAAUGGUAACGGAGGCGCCCAAAGGUUUCCUCAGUCUGGUUGGCAAUCAGAUGGUGAGUGUAAGUGUAUAAGGGAGCUUGACUGUGACACUGACGGGUGGAGCAGGUGCGAAAGCAGGGACUAGUGAUCCGGCACCGACGUGUGGUUGUGGUGUCGCUCAACGGAUAAAAGGUACCCCGGGGAUAACAGGCUGAUCUUCCCCAAGAGUUCAUAUCGACGGGAUGGUUUGGCACCUCGAUGUCGGCUCGUCGCAUCCUGGGGCUGGAGUAGGUCCCAAGGGUUGGGCUGUUCGCCCAUUAAAGCGGCACGCGAGCUGGGUUUAGA
Molecule: ribosomal RNA, 1314 nt
Filed under: human metagenome
Description: bacterial LSU rRNA
Rfam family: Bacterial large subunit ribosomal RNA
Source: RNAcentral